GCACUCUAGCCUGGGUAACACAGUGAGACUGUCUAAAAACAAAUAAAUAAUAAAUUUAAAGAAAUGUAUAAAGUACUAAUAACCCACUCAUCAUGCAAUAAUCUUUACUUCAAUGCACUUGAGGGCCUACCACAAGCCAGUCAUUGCCCUGAACAAUGGAGAUAAAUAGGUGAACAUGACAGAUAAGGUCCUGCUCUCAUGAAUCAUACAUUCUAACAGGGGAGACACAACUAUAUAACGUAAGCUAGUGAUACACAACUAUAUAAUGAAAGGUUAGCUAGUGAUAAACACUAUAAAGAAAAAUCACAGUAAAGCUGAGGUUGGGUGGGCUGUGUGGGUGGCUAUUUCACAGGGUGAUCAAAGAAGGUCUUCUAAAAAAGGCGACAUUUUACUGAGAUUUAAUGAAACAAAGCAUCUGAGUCAUAUGCAAAUAUCAGCAGGAAGAGUUUUCCAGGCAAAAGAGCAAACUGGAAGAAGCAAAAUGGGACCUUGCUGGACAGAUUCAAGAAACUAUGUGGUGGUGGCACAGUAACUGAAGGAUGGUCGUAGGAAAUGAAGUCAACUCACUAGAUAAAAUAACAGGAUUAGUCAAAAAAGAGUGAUUACAGGUAACUUCUACUACAUACAAUUUCUGUCCUGUAACCUAACUUAGUUUGACCUGACACUUUACUGUAAAUAAACUAACAUAGCAUUAUCCC
This is a long non-coding RNA of Cercocebus atys (sooty mangabey), 698 nucleotides long. RefSeq lists it as uncharacterized. The record is from RefSeq and is a predicted model, not a curated record. NCBI's taxonomy places the organism in Eukaryota, Metazoa, Chordata, Mammalia, Primates, Cercopithecidae. The transcript is spliced from 2 exons.